RNAcentral lists this ribosomal RNA (637 nucleotides) under Byssomerulius corium. RNAcentral's name for it is "eukaryotic LSU rRNA". The stretch from base 219 to 372 matches the Rfam family "5.8S ribosomal RNA". The record is from RNAcentral. Lineage: Eukaryota; Fungi; Basidiomycota; Agaricomycetes; Polyporales; Irpicaceae.
UCUUGGCUCGGAGGACAUUAUCGAGUUUUUUGAACGGGUUGUCGCUGGCCUUUCACGAGGCAUGUGCACGCCUGGCUCAUCCACUCUCAACCUCUGUGCACUCUAUGUAAGAAACGGUGGACGUGCUGGCUCUUUGAGUCGGUAAGAAAGCCUUUUCUUAUGUUUUACUACAAACGCUUCAGUUAUAGAAUGUUUACUGUGUAUAACACAAUAUAUACAACUUUCAGCAACGGAUCUCUUGGCUCUCGCAUCGAUGAAGAACGCAGCGAAAUGCGAUAAGUAAUGUGAAUUGCAGAAUUCAGUGAAUCAUCGAAUCUUUGAACGCACCUUGCGCUCCUUGGUAUUCCGAGGAGCAUGCCUGUUUGAGUGUCAUGGAAUUCUUCAACUCCCCAUUUUUAUUAAUGGGCGAGCUUGGACUUGGAGGUCGUGUCGGCUCUUGUAGUCGACUCCUCUUAAAUGUAUUAGCGUGAAUCUUACGGAUCGCCUUCAGUGUGAUAAUUAUCUGCGCUGUGGUGUUGAAGUAUUUUAUAGUUUGUGCUUACAAUCGUCUCGCAAGAGACAACCUUGACAAUCUGACCUCAGAUCAGGUAGGACUACCCGCUGAACUUAAGCAUAUCAAAAACGGGGAAAAAAAACG